AAAAAGCACAUUAGAUUCCAGUGCUUCCCUUCAAAUUAAUUAAUGAGUAUAAAUAUUUUGCUUCUAUUCUAGCUUACAAAAAUGCAUGCAUACUAACUCAUUAAAAAUCACAGUUUCAAUUACAUAUAGUUCUUAAGAGAGAUGAGGGUAAAGAAUAAUAUUUCUUUGUAGCAGCUUCAUUUUUCCAUUCAUGCUGUACUGAUGAAGUUCGGGACCACAACUUUUGCACAGAUGCUGAGCUUUCCUGGGGCAACAACAAGCGAACACAAGCCCUGGCCGAGUUGGCACCAGCUCAUUCGCGAAUGCUCAGGCAGAGUAUAUGCUUCCAACAUAUGAGAGACUGACAAGCAAAAAGCUGCUGCUUCACCGUAUGCAGGAAACCCUGAAAUGCAGCAGAGUCUUUCAACAAGAUUGGGUUGCUGUGCCCCAUAACAAAAUUUACUUCACACACUGUUGUGGAGAUGGCCACAUCUAUAGCCAUACAUCAGUUCAACAAAGGCCACAAAGAUUCAGAGGAAGUCUUACAAGAGUUUGACUACGGCAUAUUAUAAAUAAAAUCUCUGGAACAGACAUCUCAAGCUAAAUCUUGUCAUUGCAAAGCAGCAAAGAAAGCCCGACAGGAGGAUGAAGCUUACAAAUGUUCUCAGGGUACCACCUAUGUAGCAGGAGGAUAAUUUUUUAAGUUCUACACUUUGGGAAAGACUGGUCUGCAUUCUGGCCAAAUUUCAUGCAAAUCGAUCAUCCGCAAUAGCAAUAAACAUGUAUAGCACUUUUAACUUUAUCUUGUCGUGCUUUCACUGUUUGUAUGCCAAAAUUGUUGCACUCAAUGUGCAGAAUGGAAGUAUCCAGCUUUUAUUGUAAUUUGCAACAAUUUCGUUAAUGUGCAUUUUGGAAAAAUAUAACCAUAAACAGGCCUGGAGUGCAGCCUGAUCUCGGUGACCAGAACCGGCAACGCACUCCCUCACCAGAGCAGGAUUGGACACCCUGGUGCAGUACUUGGCCACAACCUCCUAUAUGACUACAACAAUCAAACCCCGGCCCUCAGUCCCCAGCAGCUGCAAAGCAACUAACCACGGCAGCGGUCAGACCUGUGACCCAGCAAAGGGUGCUAAGAAUCUCUGGGUCCGGACAGGCCGCCAUUGGAAUCUGAACCUGGCAACGUUUAACGCUAGAAUGUUAUCUAGUGAGAUGAGUCUAGCAUUGCUAUUGGAGGAAUUAGUGGGCAUUAAACAGGAUACUGUAUAAUAGGGCUCAGUGAGGUCAGGAGGCCAAAAGAAGCCUAUACAGUGCUAAAAAGCGGGAACAUCCCGUGCUACCGGGGCUUAGUGGAGAGAUGAGAACUAUGAGUCUGAUUCCUGACUAAUAAGGAUAUAGCUAAUAACAUACAGGAAUUCUAUAGCAUUAACGAGAGGGUGGCAGGUCUUGUAGUGACACUUAAUAAGAGGUACAAAUUGAAGGUGACACAGGUCCACGCCCUUACAUCUAGUCAUGAUGACCAGCAAGUCGAAAGCUUCUAUGAAGAUGUGGAAUCGGCGAUGGGUAAAGUAAAAACAAAAUACACUAUACUGAUGGGUGACUUCAAUGCCAGGGUAGGCAAGAAGCGGGCUGGAGACAAGUCAGUGGGGGAAUAUGGCAUAGGUUCUAGGAAUAGCAGAGGAGAGUUAUUGAUAGAGUUUGCAGAACAGAAUAAUAUGUGGAAUGAAUACCUUCUUCCACAAGCGGGAUAGCCAAAAGUGGACAUGGAGGAGCCCGAAUGGCAAGAUUAGAAAUGAAAUAAGACUUUAUACUUUGCGCUAACCCUGGCAUCAUACAAGAUGUGGACGUGCUCGGCAAGGUGCGCUGCUGUGACCAUAGGAUGGUAAGAACUCGAAUUAGCCUAGACUUGAGGAGGGAACGGAAGAAACUGGUACAUAACAAGCCGAUCAAGGAGUUAGCGGUAAAAGGGAAAAUAGAGGAAUUCCGGAUCAAGCUACAGAACAGGUAUUCGGCUUUAACUCAGGAAGAGGACCUUAGUGUUGAAGCAAUAAAUGACAAUCAUAUGGGCAUCAUUAAGGAGUGUGCAAUAGAAGUCAGUGGCAAAUCCGUUAGACAGGAUACCAGUAAGCUAUCGCAGGAGACGAAGAAUCUGAUCAAGAAACGCCAAUGUAUGAAAGCCUCUAACCCUACAGCUAGAAUAGAACUGGCAGAACUGUCCAAGUUAAUCAACAAGCGCAGGACAGCUGACACAAGGAAGUAUAAUAUGGAUAGAAUUGAACCGGCUCUCAAGAACGGAGGAAGCCUAAAAGCAGUGAAAAAAGAAUGGGCUGGAGUGCAUUUGGCAGGCAUUCUCAGAUCAUGAACAGCAGGUUGCCAUUAUCCCUCAAGAGAAAAGUGUAUAACAGCUGUGUCUUACUAGUACUCACGUACGGGGCAGAAACCUGGAGGCUUACGAAAAGGGUUCUACCUAAAUUGAGGACGACGCAACAAGCUAUGGAAAGAAGAAUGAUGGGUCUAAUGUUAAGGGAUAAGAAAAGAGCAGAUUGGGUUAAGUUAAUGACAUCUUAGUUGAAAUCAAGAAAAAGAAAUGGGCAUGGGCAGGACAUGUAAUGAGGAGGGAAGAUAACCAAUGGUCAUUAAAUGUUACGGACUGGAUUCCAAGGGAAGGGAAGCGUAGCAGGGGGUGGCAGAAAGUUAGGUGGGCGGAUGAGAUUAAGAAGUUUGCAGGGACAACACGGCCACAAUUAGUACAUGACCGGGGUAGUUGAAGAAGUAUGGGAGAGGCCUUUGCCCUGCAGUGGGCAUAACCAGGCUGAUGAUAACACUAUCUGAGGUCUGGUACGAUGCCCGAACCUUGCAUGAGAAACCACUUUCUACACUUUCAGAGGAAAAAAAAAAAAAAAAUGCCGGUAAGAUAUUGAGAAAAUGAAAUCAUAUUUGAAAAUAGCAGAAUAAACUUUAUAUUGUACAUAACAUUGAUGCAAUUAUCUUUAUUAUGAAUGAAAAUGGAUCUCUGAGGUGCAUCUCCUCUUUAAGGGGCCCUGCAACAAGUUUUCUUCAAAAGUGAGAACAAACUUGAAUGAGGACAGCAAUGCCUUUCAGUGAAUACAAUAAAUUUUUAGAAGUACUUAACAAUUAUGGAACUACAAAGAGUGCAAUGUUCACUUUCCCCAUUCCCCUCCAAAUGUUUCCUCUUGGCCUCUUGUUCCUAUCUAACUUUUUUCUUAUUUCUGAGGUGCACCUACAGUGUACUGCAGAAAUGGAUUGCCACCAUAGCAGUCAUCUACUGCAGCCUGUCACUUUUGACAUUUUAUGUUCAAUAUCUCAUGAAGGAUAAAUGUCCACUUUUCUUCCAUAAAGAGAAACAAAAUGUUCUUGAAAGGUCUCAAAUGGAACUUACAACUGUACAGCCAUUAAGAAGGAAAUGAGAAGCUUGAAUGAUAACAUUAAAGUGGCCUUAUCCCAGAGGAAUGAUUAACUCAACUAAAAGGUUCAGAAGGGCGUACACUUUGCAUAGGUAAUAAGCCAGCGAACAAUUUAUGGUAAAGUUCUAAACAUUACUAUACAAUUUUAACUAACAGUCAGAUAUUGGUAACCAGCUUGUCACGAUAACAUAGAAAAAAAAAGGAAGCCUUUUUCUGCAUUUAAUGGCCUUAGUGCUUUCAUUUAAAUGCAAAGGUAACACAGUCAGAUGGCCAUUAAAAAGAAUGUCCAGACACAUAGGACUAGACCACAGGACCAACAGGCUGCUGCUUCAAAAAAACAAAACAAGAAAACAAAGAAAACAA
Dermacentor andersoni is the source of this 3764-nucleotide long non-coding RNA. RefSeq lists it as uncharacterized. The record is from RefSeq and is a predicted model, not a curated record. Lineage: Eukaryota; Metazoa; Arthropoda; Arachnida; Ixodida; Ixodidae.